CCUACGGGGGGCAGCCGUAGGGAAUAUUGCUCAAUGGGGGAAACCCUGAAGCAGCAACGCCGCGUGGAGGAUGAAGGUUUUCGGAUUGUAAACUCCUUUUGUUAGAGAAGAUAAUGACGGUAUCUAACGAAUAAGCACCGGCUAACUCCGUGACAGCAGCCGCGGUAAGACGGGGGGUGCAAGCGUUACUCGGAAUCACUGGGCGUAAAGAGCGCGUAUGCGGGAUAGCAAGUCAGAUGUGAAAUCCUAGGGCUUAACCAUAGAACUGCAUUUGAAACUGUUAUUCUAGAGUAUGGGAGAGGUAGGUGGAAUGCUUGGUGUAGGGGUGAAAGGCGUAGAGAUCAAGAGGAAUACUCAUUGCGAAGGCGACCUGCUAGAACAUAACUGACGCUGAUGCGCGAAAGCGUGGGGAGCAAACAGGAUUAGAUACCCCGGUAGUC
This 440-nucleotide ribosomal RNA is filed under the name uncultured bacterium. RNAcentral's name for it is "partial 16S ribosomal RNA". It matches the Rfam family "Bacterial small subunit ribosomal RNA", at positions 338 to 795 of the family's 1533-position model. The record is from RNAcentral.